RNAcentral lists this non-coding RNA (48 nucleotides) under Schistosoma margrebowiei. Lineage: Eukaryota; Metazoa; Platyhelminthes; Trematoda; Strigeidida; Schistosomatidae. The record is from RNAcentral.
AUCCAGCUGACGAGUCCCAAAUAGGACAAGACGUGUAUCAAACUGGAU